UUAUUUGCAGAAAAAUAAACAAAUAAAUGAAAAAAUUGUCAUGAUAUCCAAGACUUUUGGGAAAACAUUCUGUGGAUGGACGAGACAAAGUGGUAGUUUGAUGAUCUGGGGUUGCUCGUCAGUGCUUCUCAAACUGUGGUCCACAGACGCCCCCCAGUGGUCCGCAAGGUACUGCAUGUUAAAAACCUUUUAUUUGCCAUGACAUGAGCUCACAGUGCAACACAUACAGCUACGUAGCUUACUACCAGACCGUGUUUAAAAAUAAUAAUAUAUAAGUGGCUCUGGGCCGCUUCAUUCAAAAGAAAAGCUGAAGACACUGGUGGAAAGAAAACAACGCCAAGG
This is a long non-coding RNA of Xiphophorus couchianus (Monterrey platyfish), 342 nucleotides long. RefSeq lists it as uncharacterized. The transcript is spliced from 3 exons. The record is from RefSeq and is a predicted model, not a curated record. Lineage: Eukaryota; Metazoa; Chordata; Actinopteri; Cyprinodontiformes; Poeciliidae.